Molecule: long non-coding RNA, 3192 nt
Organism: Notothenia coriiceps (black rockcod)
Lineage: Eukaryota; Metazoa; Chordata; Actinopteri; Perciformes; Nototheniidae
Exons: 2
Source: RefSeq, a predicted model, not a curated record
CCGUCUGCAUCUCAGGGUACUUAGGGGUGAUGUACCUCGCCAUCCAGAACUUCGGGCUCCUGUACAGCGUCGCCCGCAGAGUCACGCAGCCCAAAGUGAAAUCCCACUAAAGUACAAGUUCCACAUCUCUCUCUCCAUCUUCUUCAAAUCCAAGAACUUGUGUGAAAGCAGGAGCUGGGCCGAGCCGAACCGACGGCUUUCAAAACCCAGCAGAAUAUUUUUCGUUUCCUUCAUCCAUAAACUAUGAUGUCAGAUUGGACCGCUGCCAACUCCUCCUUUUGGUCUCUCCGGACUGGAACAAUCAGGAAUCAUUUCUCUCACACACACACACACAGAAAUGUUUCCAGUGAGAGAUGUAGACGGGAUUCAGAGACUGUCUGAAGUCGCUGAGUUUAACCCAGAUAAUAAUUAAGGACAGAUUCACAUUGUUUAAAUACGAUACUCACACUCCCAUAAAGAAGUUUAAACAGUUAUCAGUCGGUGUCAUUAUUAUUUAUUUUCAUACUGACUGUUGAAGUCACAUUGUAGAGAGGAAACCACUUUUCUACGUGCAGCGGUAGAUUAUAUGCGAGUCUUUUUGGGUCGUAAUUCCCUGUUUUUUCAAAAUAAAAAGACUUCAAAUUAACUCAUUUUAGUCUCUGGUGAAUUUAGAAAAGACUGGAUUAUGUUUCCCAUUUCUUUAGGGCUGCAAUUUAACAAAUGUAACUAACAUUAACGAGCGUUUUAGAAAAACUGGAUACAAAUUCACAUUGAAUUCCAUGAUGUUUUCAAACUACCUUUUUUUUUUGUCCGACUCGGAAACAAAUGACAAAUAUAAUUUCUAAAAGGCAUAGAAAAUACUUCAAAUGUUCGCCGUUUGUUCUGAAGAAAAGUAUACAGCGAUGAUGAAAAUAUGUGCAGCUUAAAAAUGCCAUAUGGGUUUGUGAGUAUUGAAAUCUGAAUUUGUCCUUUUUUUUAAGUGAAAAUUAGACAAAAAUCCACAACUUGUCAAAACAAAAUGUGAAGUAGUGUCUAGAUGAUCCUGAUUAAAUCGCCUUGGUAGUGAAAUAAUGAAAAGCAACAUUCGAUUGCCAGAUAAUUACUGUUUGCAUUAACCCCCCCCCCUUAAUAAUAUCUAACGUUAGGGACGUUUUUCCACUUUUUGUGCCCCUAUUUUCCUGUAAUGUUUGUUUCUGUGACUUGGUUUUCUUACUGCUCAAGUCUUUUUUUGUAAUGAAUAAAACAAGUCAUGCUGGGAAACGCUGAGUCAUGUUAAAGCUGGUCUUAGAAUACAAUCAGGGCGACGUGUAGAGACGAGAUAACGACCCCUUUUUUUAUCUGAGAGAAACACCUUAUGAGUUUGUGACUUCAGCGAUAAUCUGAUCUGAGAUUUUUUUAAACUGUGUUAACAUUUUGUCGCUGCAGUGUUUGUGUUAAAAUUGGAAGAGACAGAUAUUGGUCCUAUUAAAACGUGUGUGUGUGUGAAUGAAUACUGCAGUGACUCCCGAUGUGUCUCUACCUUGUUGUGGGUGAUUUUUUGUUUUUUGUAUUUUCCACCGCGUGACCCUUUUUUUUACCGACUCGAGGGAAAUGCUGCGUGCGUGGUACAUAUGAAUUUUUAAUUUAUUGAAGCAGUUAUUUUUUCAUUUGUGCACUGAACCCUUCUCCGCUCACACUUGAUCUCUGCAAUGAAAAGUUGUGAUUAAAAUAAAAAAAAUGUAUAAAAAAAAACACACAAAGCUGCUUUUUUUUCGUUUACUGACAUGUUUUAUUUGAUGGGAGGAAAUGAAAUGAUAACAUUGGCUGAAUGGUAUUAAAAUUGCAUUACAAAAGAGCAUGUCUUUAUCAAUUCAGAUUUAAAAAGUGGUCAGAUUUCCUUAAAACAAAGAAAGGGUAAUUUGUUUAUCAUACAGUGAAUAGUGAUCCACUUGUAUUUACUGAUUCUUCCCACAAAGUCACACAAAUCCCCCCAAAUUCUCCCCUUCCCUUUUUCUAAUCUUCCUAUUGAACAAUAAAAAUAAUACUAAUAAAUUACAGUGCAAUUUAUAAGAAAUACCUGCAGGGCGUUUUCUGCCCGUCGUUCUCUAAGCGCUUCGUCUCGUCAGCUCCCACAAACGCCCGACAAAUUAUUUUAGGUGGACGUUUGGCACAAAUAAAACACUCGCAGGGACAAUUUGAAAAGGCGAAAUUCAGACCGACAACUCGUACAGACGUCAUGUCUACCAAGAAACAUCGAAAAAAGUCAAAAUUCCUGAUCUUAAAAAUAAGAAACAAUUGGUAUAAUUUCACUUUUUUUUUUUUUUCUCAUUUGCUUCAAUAACAUGUCAUAUUUCAGACUAGUGGAAUGAAAACAACCAGAUUCCAAAUUAAGUUGUUUAUUUCACUUUAAUUAGACUCAAAACGUGUGUUUAUUUUGCACUAAAGUUCUACACUAAAGGAGGAUUUCUCCCUUAAUGUGUAGAAACGGUUUAAACAUCAAAUAUCCCACAAGUUGUCGGUCUGAACUGAGCUUCACAUGCAAUAUUAAGAACAUUUUAAAUAAGAAUAAUCCAAUUAAAUACAGAAAGAUAAAUAAAUGAUCAAUUUAAAAGAAAAUGUUCCUUUUAUUUUUGAUUUGUCUUGGAGACAGAAAUGACAUUUCUUAACUUAAAUCAUGAUUUGUUCCUAACAAAAACUUUACUUUCCUAACUUAACGGACGUUUCUGGCCGAAAAUCCUGAAAAUAAAUCCUCUUUUGUGGUGCGUAGGGGUGGGGGACGUGUAUGAAAUUCAUUUUUUAAAUCAUACUGACAUAAAAAGUUAAAGAACAUUAAAUUAAAUAUUAUCUAACGCACAUCUGGUAGUUGCUGCAGAUGUAUUUGGGGUAAUCUAUCAAAGUAAAAAUCAUUAAGAUGCAAAAUAAACACAUUUGAAACCGUCUGAUGGUGCGUUUGUGUCCCCUUAAGACUGUAGGAAUGUUUUUAUUUUUGUAAAUACCAGACUUUAGGGAUGAGACACACCUAAUCCACAUGUUGGGUGUUUGUGGGUUUACUGCAAACUUCACACAAAAAAAACCCCCCGACUGUGUGGGUCUUCAGUCUCACUUCCUGUCUGACACUACACAUGUUGGAUAAGAACCGUGUUUUCUACAGUACAGCUGAUCACAACUGGAAUACUAACAGUGCUCUCAGAGGAAAUAAAACAGCAGCAAUUAAAAAAAAACAAAAAACAUGAC